AACGAACGCUGGCGGCAUGCCUAACACAUGCCAGUCGAACGAGACCUUCGGGUCUAGUUGCGCACGGGUGCGUAACGCGUGGGAACCUGCCCUUAGGUUCGGAAUAACUCCCCGAAAGGGGUGCUAAUACCGGAUAAUGUCUUCGGACCAAAGAUUUAUCGCCUUUGGAUGGGCCCGCGUUGGAUUAGCUAGUUGGUAGGGUAAAAGCCUACCAAGGCGACGAUCCAUAGCUGGUCUGAGAGGAUGAUCAGCCACACUGGUACUGAGACACGGCCCAGACUCCUACGGGAGGAAGCAGUGGGGAAUAUUGGACAAUGGGCGAAAGCCUGAUACAGCCAUGCCGCGUGAGUGAUGAAGGCCUUAGGGUUGUAAAGCUCUUUUACCCGGGAUGAUAAUGACAGUACCGGGAGAAUAAGCUCCGGCUAACUACGUG
RNAcentral lists this ribosomal RNA (433 nucleotides) under uncultured bacterium. RNAcentral's name for it is "partial 16S ribosomal RNA". It matches the Rfam family "Bacterial small subunit ribosomal RNA", at positions 29 to 507 of the family's 1533-position model. The record is from RNAcentral.